RNAcentral lists this ribosomal RNA (485 nucleotides) under uncultured bacterium. RNAcentral's name for it is "bacterial SSU rRNA". It matches the Rfam family "Bacterial small subunit ribosomal RNA", at positions 28 to 512 of the family's 1533-position model. The record is from RNAcentral.
GACGAACGCUGGCGGCGUGCUUAAUACAUGCAAGUCAACUGAACUUAAGAUAGCAAUAUUUUAAGGGAGGUGGCGCACGGGUGAGUAACACGUAGGUAAUCUGCCUUUAGGUCUGACACAACCCCGAGAAAUCGGGGCUAAUAUCAGAUGAUGCAGCGGCUCGACAUCGAGACAGUUGUUAAAACCUUCGGGGCCUAAAGAUGAGCCUGCGUCUGAUUAGGUAGUUGGCGGAGUAAAAGCCCACCAAGCCUGCGAUCAGUAGCUGGUCUGAGAGGAUGAUCAGCCACACUGGAACUGAGACACGGUCCAGACUCCUACGGGAGGCAGCAGUAAGGAAUAUUGCUCAAUGGCCGAAAGGCUGAAGCAGCAACGCCGCGUGGAGGAUGAAAUACUUUUGUAUGUAAACUCCUGUAAAGAGGGAAAAUAUUCCGAUUUAUCGGGAUUGAUUGUACCUUCAGAGUAAGCCCGGCUAACUACGUGCCAGC